Capra hircus (goat) is the source of this 1427-nucleotide RNA transcript. It is a transcript of the gene named palmitoyltransferase ZDHHC3 pseudogene, with no coding region annotated. The transcript has a single exon. Lineage: Eukaryota; Metazoa; Chordata; Mammalia; Artiodactyla; Bovidae. The record is from RefSeq and is a predicted model, not a curated record.
CUCAACAGUAGCCUAUGUUAAUUGUACAACUGUACAGUGUAGAGGGAGGAAUCCAAAUGUUAGUGACAUCGGUGGUAUGCUGGUGAGCAUAACUGACUUCCAAAGGUUUAGGGCAAUAAGAGUGCUGGGCGCCGCCUGCUCUUGCAGCUGCCGCCACCCCACUGAGGGGCGCUCGAUGGGCGCGCCGCCUCGCGUCCCGCUGAAUCCCGGAAGCUGCGGCGCCUCCUGCCGGGGAGCCAUCGCUGCAGCCUGAGGUCGGGUCCCGGGUCGGAGGCUGCCUGAGGAGCGACGACGGUGGCGGCAACGGGAGCCCCACCAGGAGUCUGGGACUGAGGAACUGCCUGGGGCUUCACAAGGCCAGUAUGGACAGAAUAACUUAGGAUGUUUAUCCCCGCCCGCUGCUUCUGAGACCUUGAGUGGAAACCAGAGUGCUUCCAGUCAGAGAAGUGCGUGCCACCUUCCCACCCCUGUCCGACGGGCACCAUGUGGUUCAUCCGCGAUGGCUGUGGCAUUGUCUUUGCCGUUGUCACCUGGUUUCUGGUCUUAUAUGCGGAGUUCGUGGUCCUCUUCGUCAUGCUGAUUCCAUCCGGGGACUACAUGUACAGCGCCAUCAACGGAAUCGUGUUCAGCCUGCUGGCCUUCUUGGCCCUGGCUUCCCACUGCCGGGCCAUGUUGACCGACCCUGGGGCUGUGCCCAAAGGAAAUGCCACUAAAGAAUUCAUCGAGAUUUUACAGCUGACGUCCGGGCAGGUGCUGUACAACUGUCCCAAAUGUUGCAGCAUCAAGCCCGACCGAGCCCACCACUGCAGGGUUUGUAAGCGGUGCAUUCGGAAGAUGGACCACCAUUGUCCCUGGAUCAACAACUGUGUCGGCGAGAAGAACCAGAAGUACUUCGUCCUGUUUACAAUGUACGUAGCUCUCAUUUCCUUGCACUCCCUCAUCUUGGUGGUAUUCCACUUCAUGCAUUGCUUUGAAGAAGACUGCAGCUCCUCCUCGGCCACCACGAUGACCCUCCUCAUUUUCCUCGGCUUGGAGGCGCUUCUCUUCCUCAUUUUCACAUCGGCCAUGUUUGGGACCCAGAUGCUCUCCAUCUGCACAGAUGAGACGGGAAUAGAACAACUGAAAAAGGAAGACAGAAGAUGGGCCAAGAAAGCAACGUGGGUGAACCUGAAAGCCGUUUUUGGCCACCCCUUCUCUCUAGGCUGGGCCAGCCCCUUUGUCAUGCCAGACCAAGGGAAGGCAGACCCGUACCAGCAUAUGAUCUGAAAGACUCUGACCAGCAUUGCCACUCAGACACAAACCACAUCCUGGCACUACCCUUGGAUUGGGUCUUAUGAAUGUCCAAACCGAAAAACCAACACAACUCUAAAUAAAACAUUUUUUGUUUAAUGUCUCAAGUAAAAUGGCAGAACAUUGCAGAAAAAAAA